CCUAUGAGGCCAUGGGUGACAGUGAAGUGUUAGUCGUAGUGGAAAGCUCAGGAUGUUAGAGAGGACGAGAUCAUGGAUAAUCUGCCAAAAACAGUGGGACCAGUCUAACCCCACAAGAUAAGCAGUGUGUGCUGUGGAUGACAGAGCCAGAUGAGUGGGACAACCCUUUGGAGCCCUGAAGACCCUGAGUGAACCCCAGAUGAGCUGCUGGUCUAAGGAAAUGACUUACUGAGAUUUUUCAAGGUUGAAAUUGGGAUUCUGGAAAUAAACUCCUCACCCCACAGACCAAAGGACAGGCAGGGAAAUACAAACAAUCUUGAUUCCCCCCUCGUGAAGCUUACCGAGUCAGUCACCCAGCACCUUGAUACUCAAAGUGUAAAAGCAAAUAAGAUCAGUGAAUUCACCGCGACCCGUGAGCCAGGUUGCACACUCCCAGGCCUCAGAGCUGUUG
Myodes glareolus (Bank vole) is the source of this 451-nucleotide non-coding RNA. Lineage: Eukaryota; Metazoa; Chordata; Mammalia; Rodentia; Cricetidae. The record is from RefSeq and is a predicted model, not a curated record.